CGGAGGAAGGUGGGGACGACGUCAAAUCAUCAUGCCCCUUAUGUCCAGGGCUGCACACAUGCUACAAUGGCCGGUACAGAGGGCUGCGAUACCGCAAGGUGGAGCGAAUCCCAAAAAGCCGGUCUCAGUUCGGAUCGGGGUCUGCAACUCGACCCCGUGAAGUCGGA
RNAcentral lists this ribosomal RNA (167 nucleotides) under uncultured Actinomycetes bacterium. Its description in RNAcentral is "uncultured actinobacterium partial 16S ribosomal RNA". It matches the Rfam family "Bacterial small subunit ribosomal RNA", at positions 1164 to 1330 of the family's 1533-position model. The record is from RNAcentral. Lineage: Bacteria; Bacillati; Actinomycetota; Actinomycetes.